CUGCCUUUUAGACUGGAACAACUUACCGAAAGGUGAGCUAAUGCCGGAUGAGUUAUAUAAGUGCAUGUUUAUAUAGGAAAAGUUGGGGAGACCUGACGCUGAAAGAUGGACUCGCGUCCCAUUAGCUAGUUGGUAGGGUAAUGGCCUACCAAGGCGACGACGGGUAGCCGGCCUGAGAGGGUGGCCGGCCACACUGGGACUGAGACACGGCCCAGACUCCUACGGGAGGCAGCAGUGGGGAAUUUUGCGCAAUGCUCGUAAGAGUGACGCAGCGACGCCGCGUGAAUGACGAAGGCCUUCGGGUCGUAAAGUUCUUUCGACAGGGAAGAAAAUGCCUAUAAGUAACUGUGUAUGUAUUGACGGUACCUGUAUAAGCAGCCCCGGCUAACUACGUGCCAGCAGCCGCGGUAAUACGUAGGGGGCAAGCGUUAUCCGGAUUUACUGGGUGUAAAGGGAGCGUAGGUGGCAUGGUAAGCCAGAAGUGAAAACCCAGGGCUCAACUCUGUGGAUUGCUUUUGGAACUAUCAAGCUAGAGUGCUGGAGGGGUAAGCGGAAUUCCUAGUGUAGCGNUGGAAUGC
This 578-nucleotide ribosomal RNA is filed under the name uncultured bacterium. Its description in RNAcentral is "bacterial SSU rRNA". It matches the Rfam family "Bacterial small subunit ribosomal RNA", at positions 126 to 689 of the family's 1533-position model. The record is from RNAcentral.